AUUGAACGCUGGCGGCAGGCCUAACACAUGCAAGUCGAGCGGUAACACAGGGAGCUUGCUCCUGGGUGACGAGCGGCGGACGGGUGAGUAAUGUCUGGGAAACUGCCUGAUGGAGGGGGAUAACUACUGGAAACGGUAGCUAAUACCGCAUAACGUCGCAAGACCAAAGAGGGGGACCUUCGGGCCUCAUGCCAUCAGAUGUGCCCAGAUGGGAUUAGCUAGUAGGUGGGGUAACGGCUCACCUAGGCGACGAUCCCUAGCUGGUCUGAGAGGAUGACCAGCCACACUGGAACUGAGACACGGUCCAGACUCCUACGGGAGGCAGCAGUGGGGAAUAUUGCACAAUGGGCGCAAGCCUGAUGCAGCCAUGCCGCGUGUAUGAAGGAGGCCUUCGGGUUGUAAAGUACUUUCAGCGGGGAGGAAGGCGAUAAGGUUAAUAACCUUGUCGAUUGACGUUACCCGCAGAAGAAGCACCGGCUAACUCCGUGCCAGCCGCCGCAGUAA
RNAcentral lists this ribosomal RNA (504 nucleotides) under uncultured bacterium. Its description in RNAcentral is "partial 16S ribosomal RNA". It matches the Rfam family "Bacterial small subunit ribosomal RNA", at positions 30 to 523 of the family's 1533-position model. The record is from RNAcentral.